RNAcentral lists this ribosomal RNA (719 nucleotides) under uncultured bacterium. Its description in RNAcentral is "bacterial SSU rRNA". It matches the Rfam family "Bacterial small subunit ribosomal RNA", at positions 774 to 1495 of the family's 1533-position model. The record is from RNAcentral.
CGGAUUAGAUACCCUGGUAGUCCACGCUGUAAACGAUGAUUACUAGGUGUUGGUCCCAUAGGGAUCAGUGCCGCAGCAAACGCAUUAAGUAAUCCACCUGGGGAGUACGAUCGCAAGGUUGAAACUCAAAGGAAUUGAUGGGGGCCCGCACAAGCAGUGGAGCAUGUGGUUUAAUUCGAUGCAACGCGAAGAACCUUACCUAGGCUUGAAAGGCAAGCGACCGGGUGUGAAAGCACCCUUCCAGCAAUGGCGCUUGUACAGGUGCUGCAUGGCUGUCGUCAGCUCGUGCCGUGAGGUGUUGGGUUAAGUCCCGCAACGAGCGCAACCCUUACUAUUAGUUGCCAUCAGGUUAAGCUGGGCACUCUAAUAGGACUGCCUACGCAAGUAGUGAGGAAGGUGGGGAUGACGUCAAGUCCGCAUGGCCCUUACGCCUAGGGCUACACACGUGCUACAAUGGAUGUUACAAUGGGUUGCCAAACCGCAAGGUGGAGCCAAUCCCAUAAAGGCAUCCUCAGUUCGGAUUGGAGUCUGAAACUCGACUCCAUGAAGUUGGAAUUGCUAGUAAUCGCGCAUCAGCAUGGCGCGGUGAAUACGUUCCCGGGCCUUGUACACACCGCCCGUCAAGCCAUGGAAGCCGGGGGUACCCGAAGUCAGUGUCCUAACCGCAAGGAGGGAACUGCCUAAGGUAAAACCGGUGACUGGGGCUAAGUCGUAACAAG